GGCAUCAAUGAGCCGAGGCUGAGCCCAGGGCGCCAGUACCUAUUCACGAGCUGUCAUUACAUGUAUUAAUACGUGUAGCGAUUGCUGCCUGUUUCACAACUUGUCACCAACGAAAUGUAGAUUUUUCUUUUACCGUCCCUUUCUACGAGCUUAUUUUGAUCGCGCAAAAAGAGGCAAAGAAAACUCGAAAUGAGGCAAGACAGGAAACAGCCUCUACGGAAGCCGACAGGUGCUUGGCUGUUAUUGUUGUUUUUUUGUCAGGCGCCUCUUCGCGCCAGUGACGUUGGCGCUGCUCCAGGGAGUUAGCAAACGAACUCAGUUAGCUUAUUUCACAACUCUCAAGACGGAGGAGAAUUAUAUAAGUCGCCUUAAGACAUUUUCAUAACAAAAGCUCAUAACUGAUGGAAGAGCAACGCCGGAGCUUAAAUGUGUGCUUCAAACUACGGGACAGAAGACUCGCACCUUUCAAACGGACUGGUGCACCCGAAAAGACUGGCUGUGCUGCCACAAACCGACUGUACCGUUUUCCCUGCUUACUGUUUUUAACCUGUGAUAAAGUCUGGACUAACACGGGAUAUUGUGACAUGAAAAACAUUAGCGUCCGCAAUGAAAAGGCUUUUCUUCCCAUGUUAGACGUGUAGAGAACCGAGUCGUGUUCAAGAUAAGGUAAUUUCUAGUUCUUACAUAAUUUUGUGUGCAGUUUGUUGGCCUACCAAUCCAUGUGUUCUCUGAGCUACUGUAAGUCCGGAGUCCCGUUGUGUCUCAAAUAGAAAGUCAGCCAUGUUAAUUAUGUUAAUUAUUACUUUGUUUUCUUCAUUGUGUGUGUGUGUUUUUUUGUCUUUUUUGUUUCUAGCAUAAGUUAUAGUGUUUAGUUUGAUGUUCAUUUUUUUGUUCUUUAUCAAAUAAUUUAAACCAUCAGCAACUCUUUCAGGCUCUGACUUGAAGAUGUCUUUGUUGAAAAAAACAAGGAAACAAACUCACUCUGAUGGUUGUUGUUUAAAAAGUUUGGCAAGGUUCUCCGACCAGUUGCUCUUGUAGGACAUAUUUUUUUCUGGACCAGGUGCAGCAAAUUCUCGUCUCUCAUGGGGCCUA
Molecule: long non-coding RNA, 1092 nt
Organism: Betta splendens (Siamese fighting fish)
Lineage: Eukaryota; Metazoa; Chordata; Actinopteri; Anabantiformes; Osphronemidae
Exons: 2
Source: RefSeq, a predicted model, not a curated record